Molecule: long non-coding RNA, 214 nt
Filed under: Phoenix dactylifera (date palm)
Lineage: Eukaryota; Viridiplantae; Streptophyta; Magnoliopsida; Arecales; Arecaceae
Description: long non-coding RNA (PDAC_LNC015137)
Source: RNAcentral
UUGAGUCAGAUUUGAUUAGAUCAGAUCCAGAACCCAUAUUAGAUGCACCAUUAAGGCGAUCGGGUAGAGUACCACGUCAGCCGGACAGAUACUACGGUUUCUUGAUCCGGGAUGGGGAUCCUAUCGAACUUGAUGAAAACGAUGAGGAUUCGAUCACAUAUAUGGAUGCAAUGCAGAGGUAUGACUCUGAUAAAUGGCUUGGAGCCAUGCAAUC